RNAcentral lists this ribosomal RNA (500 nucleotides) under uncultured bacterium. Its description in RNAcentral is "partial 16S ribosomal RNA". It matches the Rfam family "Bacterial small subunit ribosomal RNA", at positions 30 to 523 of the family's 1533-position model. The record is from RNAcentral.
AUUGAACGCUGGCGGCAUGCCUUACACAUGCAAGUCGAACGGCAGCGCGGACUUCGGUCUGGCGGCGAGUGGCGAACGGGUGAGUAAUAUAUCGGAACGUGCCCUGGAGUGGGGGAUAACCAGUCGAAAGACUGGCUAAUACCGCAUACGAUCUACGGAUGAAAGUGGGGGAUCGCAAGACCUCAUGCUCGUGGAGCGGCCGAUAUCUGAUUAGCUAGUUGGUGGGGUAAGAGCCCACCAAGGCAACGAUCAGUAGCUGGUCUGAGAGGACGACCAGCCACACUGGGACUGAGACACGGCCCAGACUCCUACGGGAGGCAGCAGUGGGGAAUUUUGGACAAUGGGGGCAACCCUGAUCCAGCAAUGCCGCGUGUGUGAAGAAGGCCUUCGGGUUGUAAAGCACUUUUGUCCGGAACGAAACGGUGAAGGUUAAUACCCUUUGCUACUGACGGUACUGGAAGAAUAAGCACCGGCUAACUACGUGCCGGCAGCCGCCGCAG